UCAAACAGAAAUGAUAACAAUAGUAACUACCUUGAGGGGUUGUAAUGAUUGAGUUAAUACAUGUAAAACACUUAGAACACUGGCUUACCUCGUAAGUGCUAAAAGGAGUAGGUGUUACUCCUGACAUUCCUUCCUUAACUCAUGGCCCUCAGUUAUAAUACUUACAUGGUUCUUGGCAUGAGCCCUCUUCCCUCCCUCUGCCCAGUCCAGGAAGAGGCUCAACCCCCGAUGUUCCUCAUCACCCCAUCUGGACCAGUGUGACUGCACCAGCCUGUACCAUUCUCUGUCCAUCCUGGUCCCUCACAUACUCAAGACACACAUGUAAUUUUACAUUUUCCAGUAGCCAUAUUAGAAAAGUAAAAAGAAACAGGUGAAUUUAAUACUGUACUUUAGUCCAAUAUAGCCAUUUAUCAUUUCAACAUGUAAUUAAUAUUAAAAAUUCUUACAUUUUACAUUCUGUUUUUGUACUCUUUCCAAUCCAUCAUGAUUUUACCCUAGCAGCACACCUCAAUUUGGACUAGCCACAUUUCAAGUGCUUGACAGUCACAGGUGACUAAUGGCUCUCCUAUGGGUUAUAGCCCAGCUCUUGACUCUUUGAUCCACAAGGAUAAGAACCACAUCCACUUCCACAUCUCCAGGUAUGAGGCAGAUAAAUAGCAGAGAGUGAUUACACGUAACUCUUCUCACCACGGAUUCCGGCAUUUGUGGGCAGCUGCAGAAGAGUAGGUGGGAGGAUCUCCCAGAUUAUGAGGCCAGUUUUUCUGUGGCUCAGAGAGUGCCAGUGACUCGCUCAAGAUAAAACAGCUUGUUAGUGGCAGGGAUGGAGCCCAGAAAUCCUGUUUCCUGUCCUCAGGAGUGUGUGUUCGAAAGAAGUUCUUGGCAAAGGUGAGAAUAAAUCAUAGGCUCUUUGAAGAGGACUCCAGUGUAUUAAACAAAUAGGUUGCUGAGAUGCAGUUAACUACUCAGUAAUGUAGUUGAAGAAAAUUAAUUUUUCAUUCUGCCACUCAGAAUAUCGAGGCUGGCCAUCUGUAAACACAGCCUGUCUCUAGGAGAACAGAGGUGGAAUCCUCCUUGCAAGUUUAAAAAAAUAACAGAGUAAUCUCAGUGGAUGUCUUAAGAGAAACAUAAUUAUAAUUUAGUUGACAUAUCUCAUAUCUCAGUGAUGGUAAAUAAACCUUCCCUAAAUAAUUCAAU
RNAcentral lists this long non-coding RNA (1194 nucleotides) under Pan troglodytes (chimpanzee). RNAcentral's name for it is "long non-coding RNA NONPTRT012136". The record is from RNAcentral. Lineage: Eukaryota; Metazoa; Chordata; Mammalia; Primates; Hominidae.